CCCCUAGUAACGGCGAGUGAAGAGGGAAGAGCCCAGCGUCGAACCUCGGCUCUUUGGGCCGCGGAAUGUGACGUGUGGGAUGGUUCUCUGUUGUGUGCGGCUUGAACCCAAGUUCUCCUGAUUGGGACUCCAUCGAGGGUGUCAGACCCGUACGGAUUCGAGCUCGUACGCCGCUCCGGACCAUCUUUAGAGUCGGGUUGUUUGGGAAUGCAGCCCAAAUUGGGAGGUAAACUCCUUCUAAGGCUAAAUAUUCGAAGGAAACCGAUAGCGAACAAGUACCGUGAGGGAAAGUUGAAAAGCACUUUGAAGAGAGAGUUCAAUAGUACGUGAAACCGUUAAGAGGUAAACGGUGAAGCUAUCAGAGUGCCUUGGGCGAUUCAGCCGUGGCUUGUUUUCGUCCCUCAGGAUCUUUAAAGGCCUUUCGGGGUACAAAGUAGUUCUGGGGGUUCGGGGAUCGGCGGCGGCGCACUUCGCUCAGGGUUCAGCCACGACCGGUUUCUUGGGAGUGUUACAGCCUUUUGUCACGUGUCGAUUUCCUCUUCGGAAGAGAUCGCAUAAGGACUGGAGGCCGGCGGCCUUUUGGGAGACCGUGGUAGUGAAAUGUCGACCUCCGGGUGGGAUCGUUUCGGAGUUUUGYUGCGUUCCUUUCKGUGCAAACAUCUUCGGAUGUGGGUCUGGGAGUGCGCGUACGGYUUCKGAGCGACCGCGAUGUUUCCCGUCUGUGGCAAUCAAUGAUACUCUUUACCGACCCGUCUUGAAACACGGACCAAGGAGUCUAACAUGUGUGCGAGUCUCAAGGGAGUGAAAACCCGCGGGCGUAAUGAAAGUAAACAGGUGGGAAUCGGUCAGUUCGCUGAUCGACGCACCGCCGUCCCGCCUUUGUUGCAUGACAUAAGAGUGCGGAGAAUGAGCAUAAAUGUUAGGACCCGAAAGAUGGUGAACUAUGCCUGAGCAGGAUGAAGCCAGGGGAAACCCUGGUGGAGGUCCGUAGCGAUUCUGACGUGCAAAUCGAUCGUCUGAUUUGGGUAUAGGGGCGA
This 1037-nucleotide ribosomal RNA is filed under the name Protodrilus sp. 13 MDD-2014. Its description in RNAcentral is "eukaryotic LSU rRNA". It matches the Rfam family "Eukaryotic large subunit ribosomal RNA", at positions 77 to 926 of the family's 3401-position model. The record is from RNAcentral. Lineage: Eukaryota; Metazoa; Annelida; Polychaeta; Protodrilidae.